Molecule: transfer RNA, 63 nt
Filed under: Acanthobdella peledina
Lineage: Eukaryota; Metazoa; Annelida; Clitellata; Acanthobdellida
Description: tRNA-Val
Source: RNAcentral
CGGGUUAUAGCAUUAUUAAAUGCCACUUAUUUACAUUAAGAAAAAAACUUUCGUUUAACCUGU